CUACAUGAAGUUGGAAUCGCUAGUAAUCGUGGAUCAGCUACGCCACGGUGAAUACGUUCCCGGGCCUUGUACACACCGCCCGUCACGCCAUGGAAGCCGGGAGUGCCCGAAGUCCGUGACCCAACCGUAAGGAGGGAGCGGCCGAAGGCGAGUUCGGUGACUGGGGCGAAGUCGUAACAAGGUAGCCGUAGGGGAACCUGCGGCUGGAUCACCUCCUUUU
Molecule: ribosomal RNA, 220 nt
Filed under: Gemmatimonadota bacterium
Lineage: Bacteria; Pseudomonadati; Gemmatimonadota
Description: Gemmatimonadetes bacterium (freshwater metagenome) partial 16S ribosomal RNA
Rfam family: Bacterial small subunit ribosomal RNA
Source: RNAcentral